This 330-nucleotide unclassified non-coding RNA is filed under the name Hevea brasiliensis (rubber tree). Lineage: Eukaryota; Viridiplantae; Streptophyta; Magnoliopsida; Malpighiales; Euphorbiaceae. The record is from RNAcentral.
AUAAUUGUGAGGAAAUAAUUCCAACCCUAAAGGCUAUGCAAUUCGAACCACACCUGACAAGUUCAUGAUAAAGAAACCAUGUUUAUCUAGCUAAUGAUAUAUUGUCCUCAUUAACACAAAGAUCCCAUUCAUUCAUAGGCAUGAUAGCCAUAAAUUUUAUCAUGUAAUAAACAUAUUAAGUGAUUUACUUCCAUAUUUGUGUGAGACUCCACUAAAUUUAUUAAAAGUAUAAAUGACGUUAUUGAUAUGCCCCCAACAUACAAUUUACAAAGAUCAGUGCCAGCCCUAAACUGAAAGCAACAUAUUUUACGCAAGGAGUAAAUACAGAAA